UACGGAAGGCAGCAGUGGGGAAUAUUGCACAAUGGGCGAAAGCCUGAUGCAGCUAUGCCGCGUGUAUGAAGAAGGCCUUAGGGUUGUAAAGUACUUUCAUCGGGGAGGAAAAAACAAAACUAAUAAUUUUAUUUCUUGACGUUACCCGAAAAAGAAGCACCGGCUAACUCUGUGCCAGCAGCCGCGGUAAUACGGAGGGUGCUAGCGUUAAUCAGAAUUACUGGGCGUAAAGAGCACGUAGGUGGUUUUUUUAAGUUCAGAUGUGAAAUCCCUGGGCUUAACCUAGGAACUGCAUUUUGAAACUGAAAUACUAGAGUAUCGUAGAGGGAGGUAGAAUUCUAGGUGUAGCGGUGAAAUGCGUAGAUAUCUGGAGGAAUACCUGUGGCGAAAGCGGCCUCCUAAACGAAUACUGACACUGAGGUGCGAAAGCGUGGGGAGCAAACAGGGAUUAGAUACC
This 457-nucleotide ribosomal RNA is filed under the name uncultured bacterium. RNAcentral's name for it is "bacterial SSU rRNA". It matches the Rfam family "Bacterial small subunit ribosomal RNA", at positions 340 to 786 of the family's 1533-position model. The record is from RNAcentral.